GGCAGUGUAGCCUAGUGGGUAAGGCUUUAGAGCCAGGUGGCUGGGGUUCAGUUCCCACCUCUGCCA
Molecule: transfer RNA, 66 nt
Filed under: Myotis davidii
Lineage: Eukaryota; Metazoa; Chordata; Mammalia; Chiroptera; Vespertilionidae
Rfam family: tRNA
About the family: Transfer RNA (tRNA) molecules are approximately 80 nucleotides in length. Their secondary structure includes four short double-helical elements and three loops (D, anti-codon, and T loops). Further hydrogen bonds mediate the characteristic L-shaped molecular structure. tRNAs have two regions of fundamental functional importance: the anti-codon, which is responsible for specific mRNA codon recognition, and the 3' end, to which the tRNAs corresponding amino acid is attached (by aminoacyl-tRNA synthetases). tRNAs cope with the degeneracy of the genetic code in two manners: having more than one tRNA (with a specific anti-codon) for a particular amino acid; and 'wobble' base-pairing, i.e. permitting non-standard base-pairing at the 3rd anti-codon position.
Source: Rfam by way of RNAcentral